This 555-nucleotide ribosomal RNA is filed under the name uncultured bacterium. Its description in RNAcentral is "bacterial SSU rRNA". It matches the Rfam family "Bacterial small subunit ribosomal RNA", at positions 777 to 1328 of the family's 1533-position model. The record is from RNAcentral.
AAUAGAUACCCAGGUAGUCCACGCCGUAAACGAUGGGUGCUAGGUGUGGGAGGUAUCGACCCCUUCCGUGCCGGAGCUAACGCACUAAGCACCCCGCCUGGGGAGUACGGCCGCAAGGCUGAAACUCAAAGGAAUUGACGGGGGCCCGCACAAGCGGUGGAGCAUGUGGUUUAAUUCGAAGCAACGCGAAGAACCUUACCUGGGCUUGACAUCACCGCGAACCUGGCCGAAAGGCUGGGGUGCCCUUCGGGGAGCGCGGUGACAGGUGCUGCAUGGUUGUCGUCAGCUCGUGUCGUGAGAUGUUGGGUUAAGUCCCGCAACGAGCGCAACCCCGCCCUGUGUUGCCAGCGGUUUGGCCGGGCACUCACAGGGGACUGCCGGUGACAAACCGGAGGAAGGUGGGGAUGACGUCAAAUCAUCAUGGCCCUUAUGCCCAGGGCUACACACGUGCUACAAUGGCCGGUACAACGGGUUGCGAACCCGCGAGGGGGUAGCCAAUCCCGAAAAGCCGGUCCCAGUUCGGAUCGCAGGCUGCAACUCGCCUGCGUGAAGGCC